UAAAUUUCUCAGUGUCACAAGUGCC
Molecule: non-coding RNA, 25 nt
Filed under: Mus musculus (house mouse)
Lineage: Eukaryota; Metazoa; Chordata; Mammalia; Rodentia; Muridae
Source: RNAcentral